RNAcentral lists this ribosomal RNA (159 nucleotides) under uncultured bacterium. RNAcentral describes it as "partial 16S ribosomal RNA". It matches the Rfam family "Bacterial small subunit ribosomal RNA", at positions 354 to 509 of the family's 1533-position model. The record is from RNAcentral.
GUGAGGAAUAUUGGUCAAUGGGCGGGAGCCUGAACCAGCCAAGUCGCGUGAGGGAAGACGGUCCUAUGGAUUGUAAACCUCUUUUGUCGGGGAGCAAAGAGGCCACGUGUGGUCAAAAGCGAGAGUACCCGAAGAAAAAGCAUCGGCUAACUCCGUGCC